GAUGAACGCUGACGGCGUGCCUAAUACAUGCAAGUCGAGCGAACGGACGAGAAGCUUGCUUCUCUGAUGUUAGCGGCGGACGGGUGAGUAACACGUGGAUAACCUACCUAUAAGACUGGGAUAACUUCGGGAAACCGGAGCUAAUACCGGAUAAUAUUUUGAACCGCAUGGUUCAAAAGUGAAAGACGGUCUUGCUGUCACUUAUAGAUGGAUCCGCGCUGCAUUAGCUAGUUGGUAAGGUAACGGCUUACCAAGGCAACGAUGCAUAGCCGACCUGAGAGGGUGAUCGGCCACACUGGAACUGAGACACGGUCCAGACUCCUACGGGAGGCAGCAGUAGGGAAUCUUCCGCAAUGGGCGAAAGCCUGACGGAGCAACGCCGCGUGAGUGAUGAAGGUCUUCGGAUCGUAAAACUCUGUUAUUAGGGAAGAACAUAUGUGUAAGUAACUGUGCACAUCUUGACGGUACCGAAUCAGAAAGCCACGGCGAACUACGU
RNAcentral lists this ribosomal RNA (496 nucleotides) under uncultured bacterium. Its description in RNAcentral is "partial 16S ribosomal RNA". It matches the Rfam family "Bacterial small subunit ribosomal RNA", at positions 28 to 506 of the family's 1533-position model. The record is from RNAcentral.